AGCUGAUCAUUGGGUGUAAAGGGUGCGCAGGCGGUUUUGUAAGACAGAGGUGAAAUCCCCGGGCUCAACCUGGGAACUGCCUUUGUGACUGCAAGGCUGGAGUGCGGCAGAGGGGGAUGGAAUUCCGCGUGUAGCGGUGAAAUGCGUAGAUAUGCGGAGGAACACCGAUGGCGAAGGCAAUCCCCUGGGCCUGCACUGACGCUCAUGCACGAAAGCGUGGGGAGCAAACA
Molecule: ribosomal RNA, 230 nt
Filed under: uncultured Alicycliphilus sp.
Lineage: Bacteria; Pseudomonadati; Pseudomonadota; Betaproteobacteria; Burkholderiales; Comamonadaceae
Description: partial 16S ribosomal RNA
Rfam family: Bacterial small subunit ribosomal RNA
Source: RNAcentral